GGUCUCGUGGUCUAGUGGUAUGAUUCUCGCUUAGGGUGAACCCAAGCAUCGUUGCGAGAGGCCCCGGUUUCGAAUACCGGCGAGACCC
Molecule: non-coding RNA, 88 nt
Organism: Paraphoma chrysanthemicola
Lineage: Eukaryota; Fungi; Ascomycota; Dothideomycetes; Pleosporales; Phaeosphaeriaceae
Source: the annotation of a GenBank genome assembly